Molecule: ribosomal RNA, 160 nt
Filed under: Smelowskia integrifolia
Lineage: Eukaryota; Viridiplantae; Streptophyta; Magnoliopsida; Brassicales; Brassicaceae
Also listed under: 3 other names
Description: Eutrema integrifolium 5.8S ribosomal RNA
Rfam family: 5.8S ribosomal RNA
About the family: 5.8S ribosomal RNA (5.8S rRNA) is a component of the large subunit of the eukaryotic ribosome. It is transcribed by RNA polymerase I as part of the 45S precursor that also contains 18S and 28S rRNA. Functionally, it is thought that 5.8S rRNA may be involved in ribosome translocation.
Source: RNAcentral
AACGACUCUCGGCAACGGAUAUCUCGGCUCUCGCAUCGAUGAAGAACGUAGCGAAAUGCGAUACUUGGUGUGAAUUGCAGAAUCCCGUGAACCAUCGAGUCUUUGAACGCAAGUUGCGCCCCAAGCCUUUUGGCCGAGGGCACGUCUGCCUGGGUGUCAC